This 392-nucleotide ribosomal RNA is filed under the name uncultured bacterium. RNAcentral's name for it is "bacterial SSU rRNA". It matches the Rfam family "Bacterial small subunit ribosomal RNA", at positions 28 to 428 of the family's 1533-position model. The record is from RNAcentral.
GACGAACGCUGGCGGCGUGCUUAACACAUGCAAGUCGAGCGGUAAGGCCCUUCGGGUACACGAGCGGCGAACGGGUGAGUAACACGUGGGUGACCUGCCUCUAGCUCUGGGAUAAGCCUGGGAAACUGGGUCUAAUACCGGAUAUGACUCCACGGCGCAUGUUGUGGGGUGGAAAGCCUUGUGCGGCUAGAGAUGGGCCCGCGGCCUAUCAGCUUGUUGGUGGGGUGAUGGCCUACCAAGGCGACGACGGUAGCCGGCCUGAGAGGGCGACCGGCCACACUGGGACUGAGACACGGCCCAGACUCCUACGGGAGGCAGCAGUGGGGAAUCUUGCGCAAUGGGCGAAAGCCUGACGCAGCGACGCCGCGUGAGGGAUGACGGCCUGGUUGUAA